RNAcentral lists this ribosomal RNA (247 nucleotides) under uncultured Hydrogenophaga sp. RNAcentral's name for it is "partial 16S ribosomal RNA". It matches the Rfam family "Bacterial small subunit ribosomal RNA", at positions 527 to 773 of the family's 1533-position model. Lineage: Bacteria; Pseudomonadati; Pseudomonadota; Betaproteobacteria; Burkholderiales; Comamonadaceae. The record is from RNAcentral.
GUAGGGUGCAAGCGUUAAUCGGAAUUACUGGGCGUAAAGCGUGCGCAGGCGGUUUUGUAAGACAGUCGUGAAAUCCCCGGGCUCAACCUGGGAAUUGCGAUUGUGACUGCAAGGCUGGAGUGCGGCAGAGGGGGAUGGAAUUCCGCGUGUAGCAGUGAAAUGCGUAGAUAUGCGGAGGAACACCGAUGGCGAAGGCAAUCCCCUGGGCCUGCACUGACGCUCAUGCACGAAAGCGUGGGGAGCAAAC